This 107-nucleotide microRNA precursor is filed under the name Chlorocebus sabaeus (green monkey). RNAcentral describes it as "miRNA (ENSCSAG00000026126.1)". Lineage: Eukaryota; Metazoa; Chordata; Mammalia; Primates; Cercopithecidae. The record is from RNAcentral.
AGUAACUCACCUAAGGUCACAAAUAGUAAGUGGCAGAGCCAGGAUUCAAACCCAGGCAGGCUGGUUCCAGAACCUAUACUGUAACCACCUCCCUAUAUUGCUUCUUG